RNAcentral lists this ribosomal RNA (253 nucleotides) under uncultured bacterium. RNAcentral's name for it is "partial 16S ribosomal RNA". It matches the Rfam family "Bacterial small subunit ribosomal RNA", at positions 524 to 776 of the family's 1533-position model. The record is from RNAcentral.
UACGUAGGUGGCAAGCGUUGUUCGGAAUUAUUGGGCGUAAAGGGCGCGUAGGCGGUUUGUUAAGUCGGCUGUGAAAGCCCGGGGCUCAACCCCGGAGGGUCAGCCGAUACUGGCAGACUAGAGUACGGAAGAGGUAGCUGGAAUUCCCGGUGUAGCGGUGAAAUGCGCAGAUAUCAGGAGGAACACCGGUGGCGAAGGCGGUUCUCUGGGCAUUACCUGACGCUGAGGAGCGAAAGUGUGGGGAGCGAACAGG